This 617-nucleotide ribosomal RNA is filed under the name uncultured Poribacteria bacterium. RNAcentral describes it as "bacterial SSU rRNA". It matches the Rfam family "Bacterial small subunit ribosomal RNA", at positions 423 to 1037 of the family's 1533-position model. The record is from RNAcentral. Lineage: Bacteria; Candidatus Poribacteria.
UCGUACCUCUGCGUUACGGGAUGAUUGAGCGUUGCUGAUAACGCAGCGUUUUUGACGUUACCGUAGUAGAAAGCCCCAGCUAACUACGUGCCAGCAGCUGCGGUAAUACGUAGGGGGCAAGCGUUGUCCGGAAUCACUGGGCGUAAAGCGCGCGCAGGCGGUGGAGUAAGUCAGACGUGAAAGGGUUCGGCUCAACCGAACUAUUGCGUUUGAUACUGCCUCACUUGAGUCUGGAAGAGGAAAGUGGAAUGUACGGUGUAGCGGUGAAAUGCUCAGAUAUCGUAUAGAACACCCGUGGCGAAGGCGGCUUUCUGGUCUAAGACUGACGCUCAUGCGCGAAAGUUUGGGGAGCAACCGGGAUUAGAUACCCCGCUAGUCCUUACUGUAAACGAUGGGUACUAAGUGUAGGGGGUAUUGAUUCCCUCUGUGCUGUAGCUAACGCAUUAAGUACCCCGCCUGGGGAGUACGGCCGCAAGGUUAAAACUCAAGGUAAUUGACGGGGGGCCGCACAAGCGGUGGAGCAUGUCGCUCAAUUCGACGCAACGCGAAGAACUUUACCAGGCUUGACAUCUUAGUGACCGCCAUAGAAAUAUGGUUUCCUUCGGACACUAUGACAG